UAAGCGGAGGAAAAGAAACUAACAAGGAUUCCCCUAGUAACUGCGAGUGAAGCGGGAAAAGCUCAAAUUUAAAAUCUGGCAGUCUUUGGCUGUCCGAGUUGUAAUCUAGAGAAGUGUUAUCCGCGCUGGACCGUGUACAAGUCUCCUGGAAUGGAGCGUCAUAGAGGGUGAGAAUCCCGUCUUUGACACGGACUACCAGGGCUUUGUGAUGCGCUCUCAAAGAGUCGAGUUGUUUGGGAAUGCAGCUCAAAAUGGGUGGUAAAUUCCAUCUAAAGCUAAAUAUUGGCGAGAGACCGAUAGCGAACAAGUACCGUGAGGGAAAGAUGAAAAGGACUUUGGAAAGAGAGUUAAACAGUACGUGAAAUUGCUGAAAGGGAAACGCUUGAAGUCAGUCGCGUUGUCCAGGGAUCAACCUUGCUUUUGCUUGGUGCACUUUCUGGUUGACGGGUCAGCAUCAAUUUUGACCAUUGGAAAAAGAUUAGGGGAAUGUGACAUCUUCGGAUGUGUUAUAGCCCUUGGUUGCAUACGAUGGUUGGGAUUGAGGAACUCAGCACGCCGCAAGGCCGGGUUUUUAACCACGUACGUGCUUAGGAUGCUGGCAUAAUGGCUUUAAUCGACCCGUCUUGAAACACGGACCAAGGAGUCUAACAUGCCUGCGAGUGUUUGGGUGGAAAACCCGAGCGCGUAAUGAAAGUGAAAGUUGAGAUCCCUGUCGUGGGGAGCAUCGACGCCCGGACCAGACCUUUUGUGACGGUUCCGCGGUAGAGCAUGUAUGUUGGGACCCGAAAGAUGGUGAACUAUGCCUGAAUAGGGUGAAGCCAGAGGAAACUCUGGUGGAGGCUCGUAGCGAUUCUGACGUGCAAAUCGAUCGUCAAAUUUGGGUAUAGGGGCGAAAGACUAAUCGAACCAUCUAGUAGCUGGUUCCUGCCGAAGUUUCCCUC
Molecule: ribosomal RNA, 941 nt
Filed under: Cortinarius marylandensis
Lineage: Eukaryota; Fungi; Basidiomycota; Agaricomycetes; Agaricales; Cortinariaceae
Description: eukaryotic LSU rRNA
Rfam family: Eukaryotic large subunit ribosomal RNA
Source: RNAcentral